UCAAUGGAGAGUUUGAUCCUGGCUCAGGACGAACGCUGGCGGCGUGGAUUAGGCAUGCAAGUCGAGCGACGGGCCUUCGGGUUACGGAGCGGCGAACGGGUGAGUAACACGUGAAUAACCUACCCUCUCAUUCCGGAUAAUUGGCCGAAAGGCCUUGUAAUACGGGGGAGGUUCCGAUUUAGGCAUCUUUAUCGGAACGAACAAGCAAUUGGUGCGAGGAGGGGUUCGCGGAUUAUCAGCUAGUUGGUGAGGUAAUGGCUCACCAAGGCUACGACGAUUAGCUGGUCUGAGAGGAUGGUCAGCCACAUUGGAACUGAGAUACUGUCCAGACUCUUACGGGAGGCUGCAGUCGAGAAUCUUGGGCAAUGCACGAAAGUGUGACCCAGCGACGCCGCGUGAAGGAUGAAGGCCCUCUGGGUUGUAAACUUCUUUUAUGAGGGAAGAACGCCCUUUUAGGGUUUGACGGUACCUCAUGAAUAAGCCACGGCUAACUACGUGCCAGCAGCCGCGGUAAUACGUAGGUGGCAAGCGUUGUCCGGAUUUACUGGGCGUAAAGCG
RNAcentral lists this ribosomal RNA (558 nucleotides) under Armatimonadota bacterium. RNAcentral's name for it is "bacterial SSU rRNA". It matches the Rfam family "Bacterial small subunit ribosomal RNA", at positions 1 to 567 of the family's 1533-position model. Lineage: Bacteria; Bacillati; Armatimonadota. The record is from RNAcentral.